This 886-nucleotide unclassified non-coding RNA is filed under the name Daphnia pulicaria. RNAcentral's name for it is "uncharacterized LOC124350179, transcript variant X1". The record is from RNAcentral. Lineage: Eukaryota; Metazoa; Arthropoda; Branchiopoda; Diplostraca; Daphniidae.
GUAACUUCAUAAAAACAAUACUUUUUCCUUUGUGUUUGUGUUUUAAUGCGCAAUUCAACACGAGUAAAGAGAACAAAGUGAAGAAGAAAAAGUGAGAUUAAAGUGAGGCCGAGUAUACCUGCCAAGUCGUCAAAGAAUCUGGACCAUUUGUCAAAUUUCAGCUAGAGUGGCACUUGCCAAAGCACAGUACAAAUCGCAUGCAUGAUAUACUCAACAAGCCAGGAGCUAUCAACACCCUUCACCUGACAAUCCCAAAGUUACAGGAGUCUGAUAGUGGAAAGUACCGUUGUGUUGCCAGAGGUCUAUUACUACCAUCAAAAUUUUUAAAAUGAUUUCAUCCGUUUCCAAAAAUACUCUUCAUCUUUCAUCAGCACAGAGACUUUGGUUACCGAGACUUUUUGUUGGGAAAUCAUUUGUUAGAUUUUUGGGUGGACCAUCUAUUAUUCAAAAACCUAUUGCUCAGCCAAUUAAUUUGGCAAAUGAACCUAUUUUAGGUUAUUUGAAAAGCAGCGAAGAAAGAGUUGCCUUGGAAAAUGCAUUACAACAUAGGCAAUCUGCUGUUGAAGAAAUUCCAAUUGUUAUUGAUGGCAAAGAAUAUUGGACUGAUGAUGUUCAUUUAUCAGACAAUGCCCUCUAACCAUCAGAAAAAGAUCGCGAUAUUCUGCUAUGGUUCUCCCGUAUUUUACUUUUUUUUUAAAAGGGGUUAUUUUUGUUUCUUAAUUUUUUAUUUCCAUGGAAUUAGGAACUACUACAAAAAGCUUUUGGCGUUUCAUUGAAAGCCAGAAGCGCGUGGGAGAAGGUUCCUUUGAAUAAAAAAGUUUAUAUUUUUUUUAAAGCAGGAGAUUUGGUUUCCACAAAAUAUCGUAGUCAACUCGAUGCAUCUACC